This 228-nucleotide ribosomal RNA is filed under the name uncultured bacterium. RNAcentral describes it as "partial 16S ribosomal RNA". It matches the Rfam family "Bacterial small subunit ribosomal RNA", at positions 1273 to 1500 of the family's 1533-position model. The record is from RNAcentral.
CCCCUAAAAGCCAUCCCAGUUCGGAUUGCAGGCUGNAACCCGCCUGUAUGAAGUUGGAAUCGCUAGUAAUCGCGGAUCAGCAUGCCGCGGUGAAUACGUUCCCGGGCCUUGUACACACCGCCCGUCACACCAUGAGAGUCGGGAACACCCGAAGUCCGUAGCCUAACCGCAAGGAGGGCGCGGCCGAAGGUGGGUUCGAUAAUUGGGGUGAAGUCGUAACAAGGUACC